UAAAUGUUUAAACUUUUGCUUCACUUAUGAAUUGAAAAAAGUAUUAAUAAAAGUACAACAUUCUGCAUCAAGAUUUUUUAUUGUAUUUUUAUUUUUGAUUAAGACUUAAUUAACAUCUUAAUUCUCAAUUUAUGAAAAAAUAUAUAAACCUGAAAUCAUAUUUUUAUUUUUCCUAUUAUACAAUUGUUAUCACAAUUGAUUAAAUUGUAUAUAAUUAUUUUUAUAAUCAUGGACCGAUCAUAGAAAUUGUGAGAGCCGCCACGGUGGUGUCCGUGCGAUAAACAUACGCCAAAAAAACAUUUAAAUCCCGCGAUUGUCAAAGUCGGAGCUAAGAUUGCUUUCCAUACAUGGUUACCGAUAGUUAUGCGCUCGUAUUUUGAUAUAUGAAAAAAUAUGCGACACUUAACACGACAUCGAUAGUGAUUACCGAAUAGUAUCCCUGAAAGAAAAAGGAAAAAAAAACGAAAUGACACGGUCAUUCGGCACAUCAAACGUAGCUGAGCGCGCGCGCGCGCGCACGUGUGUGUGUGUGUGUGCGUGCGCACGCGCGCAGCACACCCUGACAUCGCGUCAUUCGUGUAGACGAUUGACAAUUCGGCCGCGCAUCGUUUCAAUAGAUAAGGAAUAAACAAAAAAAAUAGACAAAACGCUUAUACUUUUUAUUUAUUCUUCGUCACUCUAUCGAGCAGCGGUGGACGGAGAGGUAAAAGCCAAGUGCAUUCGGUUCGCGAGCUGAGUUGGGACAGACCUGUAAGUUUGCAACUGUAAUUACGUUUUAAUUGUAAAUUGUAGUUGCAUGUUAUAUUCCUAAUGUGCAUUUGUAAAAAGAGAUAAGCAUAUAAGAUUAUUGCAACGUGAUUACCUGUAAAAUUUGUUAUUCUUUACUUUCUUUUUUAAAAUAAUAGUGAUAGUAGUAGUAGUAUACACUGUUAGAAAUAUUUGUGAAUUUACAAUACCCUUACAAUAAAAAUGUGUUGUAAAUUUACAAAUCAUGUGACGUUUUACUGCGAUUUCACAAUAUUUGUGAAAUUACAAUAGAAAUUUUCUGUAAGUUUACAAAAUUGGCACGACGCGGAUGCGCAUUAGCGAUUUGCGCAUAUCGCGAGGUCCCGGGCCCCGGGCCGGUCUGGCCGACUAGACGAGCUUUCUGUCGCGGCCCGCCGCCAUUGUAUCUUCUCAUACUACGUGUGGUGCUGCGUGGUGAUUGCCCGGUCAUCUGUGCUUCUAUAUAUUUCUGUGCUUCAAGAUAAGAGGAUUGACUGCUUCUGUGCAUUUUUGUGCUUUAGGAUAAGAGGAUUAACUGAUUCAGAUUUUUAGAAUGUAUCACUGUCAUUUUUGUACAUAUACAUCCAAUUCUUGGGGUGAUAAUCUUCAACAUCAACAAUUCCACAAAAGUGUAUCUGAUCAAUUUCAUUGUGGAUACAACAACUGCCGUAAAUUUUUUAAAAAAGAAAACAAUUUACGAAUGCAUAUGAUUCGCACACAUCGUGUUUCUAUCAAAACUGAAAGCAUUUCGUCAAAAGUACGUCUCGUUAACCAAAAUGCUCAAUUAAUUUGCACUGUGCUUGUGUGUAAGAAAGUAUUUCAAAAUUAUUCUGAAUUUUUAAAACAUCUUAAAGAGCACAUCAGAAAUGAUGUACGUGUAAAUUGUCCGUACAGUAAUUGUAAUAAGGCAUAUGAGAAUGUCCAGUCCUUCACUGGACAUUUAAGUAAAUAUCACCGGAAUCUGUGUUUAACAUAUACAGAAGACGAUAAUAUUAAUAAUGAAUAUGAAAAUUUGCCAGUUGAAAUAAGUGCAUUAUCAACCGAUGAGGCUCCUGCUGUUUCUAUUAAUAAUAAUGAAAAUAAAGACGAACUAUUUUUAACGUAUAUUGCUCAGUUUUACUUAAAGCUUGAAAGCCAGUAUCUCGUUCCUGUAUCUACAAUUGAUCAUCUUGCAGCUGAUAUAGAGAAUAUGUAUAAUCAUGGGUGGCAAAAUAUAUUGGACAAUGUUCGUCAAUGUUUAAAACAAGAGAAAAUAUCGGAGAGUAACAUAAAUAGAAUAUGUAAAGAUUUAACUUUAAACGAUCUGUUUCUAAAGAACAAUAAACUUUUGAAUAAUAAGUUUAAAAGAACUAAUUAUUACAUGCAUAAAAAUACAUAUGUAGCGCCAAAAAAAAA
Molecule: long non-coding RNA, 2160 nt
Organism: Monomorium pharaonis (pharaoh ant)
Lineage: Eukaryota; Metazoa; Arthropoda; Insecta; Hymenoptera; Formicidae
Exons: 2
Source: RefSeq, a predicted model, not a curated record